This 370-nucleotide ribosomal RNA is filed under the name uncultured Methanolinea sp. RNAcentral describes it as "bacterial SSU rRNA". It matches the Rfam family "Archaeal small subunit ribosomal RNA", at positions 969 to 1338 of the family's 1478-position model. Lineage: Archaea; Methanobacteriati; Methanobacteriota; Methanomicrobia; Methanomicrobiales; Methanoregulaceae. The record is from RNAcentral.
CACUUGACUAGCUGAGAGGAGGUGCAUGGCCGUCGUCAGUUCGUACUGUGAAGCAUCCUGUUAAGUCAGGCAACGAGCGAGACCCACGCCAACAGUUGCCAGCUCGUCCUCCGGGAUGGUGGGGACACUGUUGGGACCGCCUCUGCUAAAGAGGAGGAAGGAAUGGGCAACGGUAGGUCAGCAUGCCCCGAAUUAUCCGGGCUACACGCGGGCUACAAUGGUCAGGACAAUGGGUAUCGACACCGAGAGGUGGAGGCAAUCUCCUAAACCUGUCCUUAGUUCGGAUUGUGGGCUGCAACUCGCCCACAUGAAGCUGGAAUCCGUAGUAAUCGCGUUUCAAAAUAGCGCGGUGAAUAUGUCCCUGCUCCUU